AUUGAACGUUGGCGGCAGGCCUAAUACAUGCAAGUCGAACGGCAGCACAGAGAGCUUGCUCUUGGGUGGCGAGUGGCGGACGGGUGAGUAACGCGUAGGAAUCUACCCAGUAGCGGGGGAUAGCCCGGGGAAACCCGGAUUAAUACCGCAUACGCCCCACGGGGGAAAGGCCGGGAUCUUCGGACCGGUCACUAUUGGAGGAGCCUGCGUUGGAUUAGCUUGUUGGUGGGGUAAAGGCCUACCAAGGCUGCGAUCCAUAGCUGGUCUGAGAGGACGAUCAGCCACACUGGAACUGAGACACGGUCCAGACUCCUACGGGAGGCAGCAGUAGGGAAUAUUGUGCAAUGGGCGAAAGCCUGACACAGCCAUGCCGCGUGUGUGAAGAAGGCCUUAGGGUUGUAAAGCACUUUCAGUAGGGAGGAAUUAGUAGGUUAAUAACCUUAUGAAUGACGUUACCUACAGAAGAAGUACCGGCUAACUCCGUGCCAGCAGCCGCGGUAAAGUCAGU
Molecule: ribosomal RNA, 508 nt
Filed under: uncultured bacterium
Lineage: Bacteria
Description: bacterial SSU rRNA
Rfam family: Bacterial small subunit ribosomal RNA
Source: RNAcentral